This 425-nucleotide unclassified non-coding RNA is filed under the name soil metagenome. RNAcentral's name for it is "partial contains 5.8S ribosomal RNA, internal transcribed spacer 2, and large subunit ribosomal RNA". The stretch from base 1 to 120 matches the Rfam family "5.8S ribosomal RNA", at positions 35 to 154 of the family's 154-position model. The record is from RNAcentral.
GAUGAAGAACGCAGCGAAAUGCGAUAAGUAGUGUGAAUUGCAGAAUUCCGUGAAUCAUCGAAUCUUUGAACGCACAUUGCGCCUUCUGGUAUUCCGGAAGGCAUGCCUGUUCGAGAGUCAUUAACAACCGUUUCGAUCCCUUUCUUUCAGAAAUCACAAAGAGGAAAAGGGUUUGGUUAUGGUGGAGGAGGGAAAGGGAGCGUUUAGCCUGUAAAAAAAGAGGCUGUGUUCCGCCUCCCCCCCAAAAUUGUACAGGCGGUCGUGUGCGCCCACGCAUCGAGGUGUUGUAAAAGCUGCCACGGCACUUUUCACCUGUGCAGUGCGAGAUUGGCCAGCCGGUUUAAAAACCCCUCCAAACAAUCAAAGGUUGACCUCGGAUCAGGUAGGGAUACCCGCUGAACUUAAGCAUAUCAAUAAGCGGAGGA